AGGAGCGAAAGCAUGGGGAGCGAACAGGAUUAGAUACCCUGGUAGUCCAUGCCGUAAACGUUGGGCACUAGGUGUGGGGACCAUUCCACGGUUUCCGCGCCGCAGCUAACGCAUUAAGUGCCCCGCCUGGGGAGUACGGCCGCAAGGCUAAAACUCAAAGGAAUUGACGGGGGCCCGCACAAGCGGCGGAGCAUGCGGAUUAAUUCGAUGCAACGCGAAGAACCUUACCAAGGCUUGACAUGUUCUCGAUCGCCGUAGAGAUACGGUUUCCCCUUUGGGGCGGGUUCACAGGUGGUGCAUGGUUGUCGUCAGCUCGUGUCGUGAGAUGUUGGGUUAAGUCCCGCAACGAGCGCAACCCUCGUUCCAUGUUGCCAGCACGUAGUGGUGGGGACUCAUGGGAGACUGCCGGGGUCAACUCGGAGGAAGGUGAGGACGACGUCAAAUCAUCAUGCCCCUUAUGUCUUGGGCUUCACGCAUGCUACAAUGGCCGGUACAAUGGGUUGCGAUACUGUGAGGUGGAGCUAAUCCCAAAAAGCCGGUCUCAGUUCGGAUUGGGGUCUGCAACUCGACCCCAUGAAGUCGGAGUCGCUAGUAAUCGCAGAUCAGCAACGCUGCGGUGAAUACGUUCCCGGGCCUUGUACA
This 642-nucleotide ribosomal RNA is filed under the name Micrococcus luteus. RNAcentral describes it as "bacterial SSU rRNA". It matches the Rfam family "Bacterial small subunit ribosomal RNA", at positions 749 to 1387 of the family's 1533-position model. Lineage: Bacteria; Bacillati; Actinomycetota; Actinomycetes; Micrococcales; Micrococcaceae. The record is from RNAcentral.